CGCGAUUCGCCCUUCGGGGCGCACCAGGCGCGAAAACUUCACAAUGGGAGAAAUCCCGAUGAGGGAAUUCCAAGUGCUAGCACUAUGUGUUAGCUGUUCUUUUGUCUAAAAAACAGAAGAAGUAAGGGCCGGGUAAGACGGGUGCCAGCCGCCGCGGUAAUACCCGCGGCCCGAGUGGUGGUCGAUAUUAUUGAGCCUAAAACGUCCGUAGCCGGUCUUGUAAAUCCUUGGGUAAAUCGGCCAGCUUAACUGUCCGAAGUCCGGGGAGACUGCAAGACUUGGGAUCGGGAGAGGUCAGAGGUACUUCUGGGGUAGGGGUAAAAUCCUGUAAUCCUGGAAGGACCACCGGUGGCGAAGGCGUCUGACUAGAACGAAUUCGACGGUGAGGGACGAAGCCCUGGGGCGCAAACGGGAUUAGAUACCCCGGUAGUCCAGGGUGUAAACGCUGCGGGCUUGGUGUUGGGGGUCCUUUGUGGGCGCCCAGUGCCGGAGAGAAGUUGUUAAGCCUGCUGCUUGGGGAGUACGUCCGCAAGGAUGAAACUUAAAGGAAUUGGCGGGGGAGCAC
RNAcentral lists this ribosomal RNA (565 nucleotides) under uncultured archaeon. RNAcentral's name for it is "bacterial SSU rRNA". It matches the Rfam family "Archaeal small subunit ribosomal RNA", at positions 312 to 879 of the family's 1478-position model. The record is from RNAcentral.